This 307-nucleotide ribosomal RNA is filed under the name uncultured Clostridium sp. RNAcentral's name for it is "bacterial SSU rRNA". It matches the Rfam family "Bacterial small subunit ribosomal RNA", at positions 355 to 676 of the family's 1533-position model. The record is from RNAcentral. Lineage: Bacteria; Bacillati; Bacillota; Clostridia; Eubacteriales; Clostridiaceae.
UGGGGGAUAUUGCACAAUGGAGGAAACUCUGAUGCAGCAACGCCGCGUGAGGGAAGAAGGUCUUCGGAUUGUAAACCUAAGUAGUCAGGGACGAAAGAAAUGACGGUACCUGAAGAGUAAGCUCCGGCUAACUACGUGCCAGCAGCCGCGGUAAUACGUAGGGAGCGAGCGUUGUCCGGAUUUACUGGGUGUAAAGGGUGCGUAGGCGGGCCUGCAAGUCAGACGUGAAAUACCGGGGCUUAACUCCGGGGCUGCGUUUGAAACUGUGGGUCUUGAGUGAAGUAGAGGCAGGCGGAAUUCCUAGUGU